This 73-nucleotide transfer RNA is filed under the name Dactylellina haptotyla CBS 200.50. RNAcentral's name for it is "tRNA-Val (CAC) (tRNA-Val-CAC-2-1)". It matches the Rfam family "tRNA". Rfam says of the family: Transfer RNA (tRNA) molecules are approximately 80 nucleotides in length. Their secondary structure includes four short double-helical elements and three loops (D, anti-codon, and T loops). Further hydrogen bonds mediate the characteristic L-shaped molecular structure. tRNAs have two regions of fundamental functional importance: the anti-codon, which is responsible for specific mRNA codon recognition, and the 3' end, to which the tRNAs corresponding amino acid is attached (by aminoacyl-tRNA synthetases). tRNAs cope with the degeneracy of the genetic code in two manners: having more than one tRNA (with a specific anti-codon) for a particular amino acid; and 'wobble' base-pairing, i.e. permitting non-standard base-pairing at the 3rd anti-codon position. Lineage: Eukaryota; Fungi; Ascomycota; Orbiliomycetes; Orbiliales; Orbiliaceae. The record is from RNAcentral.
GUCCGCGUAGAGUAGUGGUCAUCUCGCCAGAAUCACACUCUGGAUAUCGUCGGUUCGAACCCGACCGCGGGCA